CAGGAAAUGCCGUGCGUUUUCAUUUGCCGUCCCUCUCGAAGAUGAAGAAAGUACAACAGUCCGUGUCUCUAUCAUUUACAUCGCAUCCAUUCACACAACUUUUUUUUCUGCCGGAUCUCAGGAGGGUACGAACAUGAUCUGACGCUCAAGUGAGGGGGGCGAAGCCUUGCUCCUGUACCGCUGUCCUCGCCGUCACCGGCUCCAGCUCCAAGCUCGUGCCCGAGAGGGAUUUUUUUUUUUUUUUUCAUGUGCAGACUUACCAGAGCGUCUCUCCCUGCCCAGCAUGGAGUACGCGGGGGUGCCGUCUUUGCCGAAGCGCGUGAUUCUCGCGUCGAUGUAAUAC
This is a long non-coding RNA of Anguilla rostrata (American eel), 343 nucleotides long. RefSeq lists it as uncharacterized. The record is from RefSeq and is a predicted model, not a curated record. The transcript has 2 exons. Lineage: Eukaryota; Metazoa; Chordata; Actinopteri; Anguilliformes; Anguillidae.